RNAcentral lists this unclassified non-coding RNA (225 nucleotides) under Hevea brasiliensis (rubber tree). Lineage: Eukaryota; Viridiplantae; Streptophyta; Magnoliopsida; Malpighiales; Euphorbiaceae. The record is from RNAcentral.
GGAAAAUGCAAAAAACUCUCUAGUUUGGGAUGCUGAUAAGAUACGAAACUUUGAGAAGGAGCUAAUUUCUGUGAUCAAUGAUGAAGAGCAGUAUUGGGCUCAAAAAGCUAGGCAAUCUUGGCUGCAAUUGGGUGAUAGGAAUACAUCUUUCUUCCAUGCCAAAUAUGUCGAAAGAAGGAAGAGGAAUCACAUUGCUGGUCUCAAAGAUAAUCAGGGGGCUUGGAA